RNAcentral lists this transfer RNA (75 nucleotides) under Chloroflexaceae bacterium. RNAcentral's name for it is "tRNA-Met". It matches the Rfam family "tRNA". From Rfam's summary of the family: Transfer RNA (tRNA) molecules are approximately 80 nucleotides in length. Lineage: Bacteria; Bacillati; Chloroflexota; Chloroflexia; Chloroflexales; Chloroflexaceae. The record is from RNAcentral.
GACGGAGUGGCGCAGCGGCAGCGCAACAGGUUCAUAUCCUGGAGGCCGGUGGUUCAAGUCCACCCUCCGUUACCA